CCUACGGGAGGCAGCAGUGGGGAAUAUUGCACAAUGGGGGAAACCCUGAUGCAGCGACGCCGCGUGAGUGAAGAAGUAAUUCGUUAUGUAAAGCUCUAUCAGCAGGGAAGAAAAUGACGGUACCUGAGUAAGAAGCCCCGGCUAACUACGUGCCAGAAGCCGCGGUAAUACGUAGGGGGCAAGCGUUAUCCGGAUUUACUGGGUGGAAAGGGAGCGUAGACGGCAGUGCAAGUCUGGAGUGAAAGGCGGGGGCUCAACCCCCGGACUGCUCUGGAAACUGUACGGCUGGAGUGCAGGAGAGGUAAGUGGAAUUCCUAGUGUAGCGGUGAAAUGCGUAGAUAUUAGGAGGAACACCAGUGGCGAAGGCGGCUUACUGGACUGUAACUGACGUUGAGGCUCGAAAGCGUGGGGAGCAAACAGGAUUAGAUACCCCAGUAGUC
Molecule: ribosomal RNA, 440 nt
Filed under: uncultured bacterium
Lineage: Bacteria
Description: partial 16S ribosomal RNA
Rfam family: Bacterial small subunit ribosomal RNA
Source: RNAcentral